UACGUAGGACCCAAGCGUUAUCCGGAUUUACUGGGCGUAAAGAGUUGCGUAGGUGGCAGAGUAAGUAAAUAGUGAAAUCCUGGGGCUCAACCCCUUACACAUUGUUUAAACUGCUCAGCUUGAGAGUGAGAGAGGUAGAUGGAAUUGCUAGUGUAGGAGUGAAAUCCGUAGAUAUUAGCAGGAACACCGAUGGCGUAGGCAGUCUACUGGCUCAUUUCUGACACUAAGGCACGAAAGCGUGGGGAGCAAACGGG
RNAcentral lists this ribosomal RNA (254 nucleotides) under uncultured bacterium. RNAcentral's name for it is "partial 16S ribosomal RNA". It matches the Rfam family "Bacterial small subunit ribosomal RNA", at positions 524 to 776 of the family's 1533-position model. The record is from RNAcentral.